RNAcentral lists this ribosomal RNA (253 nucleotides) under uncultured bacterium. RNAcentral's name for it is "partial 16S ribosomal RNA". It matches the Rfam family "Bacterial small subunit ribosomal RNA", at positions 524 to 776 of the family's 1533-position model. The record is from RNAcentral.
UACGUAGGGGGCAAGCGUUGUCCGGAGUUACUGGGCGUAAAGCGCACGCAGGCGGUCUCUUAAGUUUGGAGUGACAGUUGGUGGCUUAACUGCCAAAGUGCUUCGAAAACUGAGAGACUUGAGGGCUUCAGAGGGACACGGAAUUCCGGGUGGAGUGGUGAAAUGCGUAGAUAUCGGGAGGAACACCUGUGGCGAAAGCGGCUCACUGGACCGCAACUGACGCUGAGGCGCGAAAGCUAGGGGAGCAAACAGG